CGAACGCUGGCGGCGCGCCUAACACAUGCAAGUCGAACGAGCGAGAGAGAGCUUGCUUUCUCAAGCGAGUGGCGAACGGGUGAGUAACGCGUGAGGAACCUGCCUCAAAGAGGGGGACAACAGUUGGAAACGACUGCUAAUACCGCAUAAGCCCACAGCUCGGCAUCGAGCAGAGGGAAAAGGAGCAAUCCGCUUUGAGAUGGCCUCGCGUCCGAUUAGCUAGUUGGUGAGGUAAUGGCCCACCAAGGCGACGAUCGGUAGCCGGACUGAGAGGUUGAACGGCCACAUUGGGACUGAGACACGGCCCAGACUCCUACGGGAGGCAGCAGUGGGGAAUAUUGCACAAUGGGGGAAACCCUGAUGCAGCGACGCCGCGUGGAGGAAGAAGGUCUUCGGAUUGUAAACUCCUGUUGUUGAGGAAGAUAAUGACGGUACUCAACAAGGAAGUGACGGCUAACUACGUGCCAGCAGCCGCGGUAAAA
Molecule: ribosomal RNA, 482 nt
Filed under: uncultured Oscillospiraceae bacterium
Lineage: Bacteria; Bacillati; Bacillota; Clostridia; Eubacteriales; Oscillospiraceae
Description: bacterial SSU rRNA
Rfam family: Bacterial small subunit ribosomal RNA
Source: RNAcentral